CUAAAGUAUGGCACCUUAACACACAUUACCACUCAUUUCAGCCAUAGCUGGUCAAACGACCAUUUCACCCACAACCUGUGAACCUGGGAUUCAAAAUCACUGAAGGCUGCACAAUCAACAGCCGCAAUCUACGAGGAGAUAUAGAUUUGACAUGUAAUAAAAUCUAACGGACUGUCAUUUUCUUUCCAGAACAGUCUCAUAAGAUGAAUAAAGCGGGAGAAUGUGUUUGUCAGACAUAGUGUGCUGAUGUUAGAAGUUGGUAUUGUAUGGAGCAGCAGGCUAGUGCAUGAUGGGGACUUUUGCUCAAGGACUUGGUUUGGACAGUAACAGUGGAUUUACCAUUUUUUAGGUCAUCAACAUGAGGGGUUUGUAACAGGUAGUUAUAACAGACAACACGAGGGGUUUGUAACAGGUAGUUGUUAUAACAGACAACAUGAGGGGUUUGUAACAGGUAGUUGUUAUAACAGACAACAUGAGGGGUUUGUAACAGGUAGUUGUUAUAACAGACAACAUGAGGGGUUUGUAACAGGUAGUUGUUAUAACAGACAACAUGAGGGGUUUGUAACAGGUAGUUGUUAUAACAGACAACAUGAGGGGUUUGUAACAGGUAGUUGUUAUAACAGACAACAUGAGGGGUUUGUAACAGGUAGUUGUUAUAACAGACAACAUGAGGGGUUUGUAACAGGUAGUUGUUAUAACAGACAACAGGUAGUUGUUAUAACAGACAACAUGAGGGGUUUGUAACAGGUAGUUGUUAUAACAGACAACAUGAGGGGUUUGUAACAGGUAGUUGUUAUAACAGACAACACGAGGGGUUUGUAACAGGUAGUUGUUAUAACAGACAACAUGAGGGGUUUGUAACAGGUAGUUGUUAUAACAGACAACAUGAGGGGUUUGUAACAGGUAGUUGUUAUAACAGACAACAUGAGGGGUUUGUAACAGGUAGUUGUUAUAACAGACAACAGGUAGUUGUUAUAACAGACAACAUGAGGGGUUUGUAACAGGUAGUUGUUAUAACAGACAACAUGAGGGGUUUGUAACAGGUAGUUGUUAUAACAGACAACAUGAGGGGUUUGUAACAGGUAGUUGUUAUAACAGACAACAUGAGGGGUUUGUAACAGGUAGUUGUUAUAACAGACAACAUGAGGGGUUUGUAACAGGUAGUUGUUAUAACAGACAACAUGAGGGGUUUGUAACAGGUAGUUGUUAUAACAGACAACAUGAGGGGUUUGUAACAGGUAGUUGUUAUAACAGACAACAGGUAGUUGUUAUAACAGACAACAUGAGGGGUUUGUAACAGGUAGUUGUUAUAACAGACAACAUGAGGGGUUUGUAACAGGUAGUUGUUAUAACAGACAACAUGAGGGGUUUGUAACAGGUAGUUGUUAUAACAGACAACAUGAGGGGUUUGUAACAGGUAGUUGUUAUAACAGACAACAUGAGGGGUUUGUAACAGGUAGUUGUUAUAACAGACAACAUGAGGGGUUUGUAACAGGUAGUUGUUAUAACAGACAACAUGAGGGGUUUGUAACAGGUAGUUGUUAUAACAGACAACAUGAGGGGUUUGUAACAGGUAGUUGUUAUAACAGACAACAUGAGGGGUUUGUAACAGGUAGUUGUUAUAACAGACAACAGGUAGUUGUUAUAACAGACAACAUGAGGGGUUUGUAACAGGUAGUUGUUAUAACAGACAACAUGAGGGGUUUGUAACAGGUAGUUGUUAUAACAGACAACAUGAGGCGUUUGUAACAGGCAGUUUUUACUAAUGAUGAUAACAUAUUGUUUUGAACUAAUGUUGUCUGAUGUUUAUUCACUAACAUGCUUACUUUUAUUUGGGGAUUUUGUUUUAUUGAUGUAAUACAUACUGUAUUAACUGCAUACACCAGGUGGAAGUUAUUGCUAGAUAGCCAGUAAGAGGAUGUUGAGUUCUAUUGAUGUCUAUGAAUGCUUUCUUAAAAAGGGGCAAAUCCUAACUUCCAUUUAGUCAUGCAUUGAUGUCAAUGGAGACUAAGUGAAAACGUUACUUAAGUGAAAGUUAGGAUUCGCCCGCAAAAUGCAGAUAAAUCAUUAGAGAAGAGAGGCCUGUUUCGGAUAGAUUAUGACAUUAUAUAUUCAGCUCAUUAUACUGCAGCUGUGAACAUAAUACAAACAUGCAUCAAAGUAAAGGACAUUACAUUCGUCAGUCUGUCACCACGCAGAUACUUAGCCAUGCUACUUGAAUAGCAGCACACAAGCUGCGCUCCCAAAGAUUCAGAUGUGUAAUUUGUCUCACAAAACACAGUUGAUUUUCUAUUGCAUUCACUAUCGCAUUCAUUUGUUGGUUUUUAGCUUGCGUUUUAGCGUCCAGUGGCAUUCUUGUUUUCCAUGGAAUUUUAUUUUCAGUAUUUUUUUUAUUCACGGACGUAAAACAUAUUGCACAAUCUUAAACAACAUAACACAACACUGCUAUAUUGACUUGACAUCCAUACACAUGUAACAUUUAAAACCUAACGGUUACUAACCCUAACAGUAACUAACCCUAACAGUAACUAACCCUAACAGUAACUAACCCUAACGGUAACUAACCCUAACGGUAACUA
This is a non-coding RNA of Salmo salar (Atlantic salmon), 2579 nucleotides long. The record is from RefSeq and is a predicted model, not a curated record. Lineage: Eukaryota; Metazoa; Chordata; Actinopteri; Salmoniformes; Salmonidae.